AUGGCUCGCGGCCAGAUCACAUCGCUACUCCUCUUCCUCCUGCUCUCAUCGACCGCGCUCCCGUGUCUGGCUCAGCAGAGCAACAGCACGGGCCACACCCGUUCGUCCAGAACCGCCGGCGGGUUCUCGCCGACCACCGUCGUCGUGCUCGUCGUCCUCAUCGCGGCCUUCGUCGUCCUCACGCUCUUUUCGAUCUACAUCAACCGCUGCACCGGCGGGCACCCCGUCCCUCGCCGGCCGUACCGUAGCACGGUCCCUGAUCAGCCCGUCGAUGCCGCCGCCCACUCGGAUCGCUGCCGCCCCCGUGGCCUCGACAAGGAGGUCGUGGAGGCCUUCCCGACGGCCGUCUACGGCGACGUGAAGGCGCGCAUGGCGACCAACAAGUCGGGCCCGCUCGAGUGCGCCGUCUGCCUCACCGAGUUCGAGGACAGCGACGAGCUCCGGGUCCUCCCGGCGUGCUGCCACGUCUUCCACCCGGAGUGCAUCGACCCGUGGCUCGCCGGCGCGGUCACCUGCCCGCUCUGCCGGGCCGAUCUCACCGAGCCCCCCGCGAUCCCGGCCGCCGCCGAGAGCCGCGGCUACCUGACGGACACGGCCGUGCAGGAGGAGCCGGAGGAGCUCGACGAGGAGUGCUCGGUGGUCUCUUUCACGGCUGAAUCCCUCACCAGCUUCAGCACGGUAUGGAGGCACGAGUUCACGGGCGCGGAGUACAACCACUACCGCAGGACGCAGUCGGCCAUGGACGCGCCGGACCGGCACACUCUGAGGCUGCCGGAGCACGUCAUGAAGGAGCUCGCCGCCGUCCGGAGGCACCGGCGGGCGGCCAGCCUCGCCGCAGAGUACCCAGACACCGCGGAUCAGAAGACACCGGGGUGGCUGACCUCGUUCCUGCGGUCCAUGUCAUGGCAGCGGCAGAGCCGCGGGGACUCGGACGCCGGGGAGGAGCACGGCGGCAGCAAACGGAUUCAUCCCGUGGCCGGAGCGCCGGUUGAAAAACCGAGCGGGUCGGGGUCCGGCGGGGACGAGAAGAAAGAGAGCUCCGACGUUGACGCGUUAAACCGGGUUUGA
This 1068-nucleotide ribosomal RNA is filed under the name Triticum aestivum (bread wheat). Its description in RNAcentral is "partial small subunit ribosomal RNA". Lineage: Eukaryota; Viridiplantae; Streptophyta; Magnoliopsida; Poales; Poaceae. The record is from RNAcentral.